RNAcentral lists this long non-coding RNA (471 nucleotides) under Marmota monax (woodchuck). Lineage: Eukaryota; Metazoa; Chordata; Mammalia; Rodentia; Sciuridae. The record is from RNAcentral.
CUGGAAUCAUUAAAUCUGACAGAGGUUAUGCAUAAAUGUGCACGUUGGUCAACACAACCCAAAAGCACCAAGUCGGCCAAUUCUUCUACCUGAGCUUGGAGUAAAUCUAUUCUUUGGUUGGCAGCUAAAAUCCCUGACAAAAUAUGUUGAUUAAUUGAAUUUUGGGACUCAAGUAUGGUAGAAGUUUGUUGAACAACUUGAUUAAUGGUGGCAGCAGUUUGUACUUGACUGGCCAUGGCCACUCCGGCCGUAACCGCUGCAGCAGCAGACACUGCCACAGCUGUCACUAUAGCUGCCAUAAUUCCAAAAUCCCUGCGGACUCUAAGUAGCUCAACAAUGGGGAAUUUAUCUGGGUCUGCAGUGACUGGGAUUGGGACAAAGGUUGGAAUUUUCAUAACCACUGCUACAGUCCAAGAACCAUUCCAACACUCAGAUAAGAGACAGGUAACACUAGAACAAUCCAGCAUCCCC